This is a long non-coding RNA of Falco peregrinus (peregrine falcon), 5566 nucleotides long. RefSeq lists it as uncharacterized. The record is from RefSeq and is a predicted model, not a curated record. The transcript is spliced from 4 exons. NCBI's taxonomy places the organism in Eukaryota, Metazoa, Chordata, Aves, Falconiformes, Falconidae.
GUGCAACCGGCCCACUUACCCAGAAAAUGACAUUGAAGCCGAAGAUGAAAUAUUUGAUGCAACAACUGACUUCAGGCCCCUUGUAGUGCUUCCCGGACAUCCUCUGCGCUCAUGAAGACACUUUGCUCGCAGCCAGGAUUGAACAGAGUUAAUGGACACAGCAGCUCCAUGGAUCCAGUUGCACUCAGUCCUGAUGCCUUUUGUGGAGGGAUGGGCAUCUUUUCUAGUACAGGUCAAAGGAGUUGUUAACCAGAUUUCCAGCACUCAGCAACUGAACAACCCAACAGAAGGGAAGACACAAACUAAGCUGUAAACAGGAUGGGUAGAGAGCACAGUUUUUUUUUAAAAAAAAAAAUCCAACGCAAGGAUCAGUAUCUCCACCUUCUUUUGUUAAGUGGUAGUGCUGGCAUGUCUGCCACCAAACUGAAUUGGAAAGGGAGGCUCAAAGACAAGCGACUACAGGGGAUGAUGCAGAUGGAACUGCCUCCUCGCAAGGCAUUGCUAUGCUGGAAAUCCAAUUGCUGUGAGAACAUCUAAGGCCAAUUCUAUGAAUUUGUUCAGAAAGGGACUCACCAAAUUAACAGAGACACAUCAGUCAGUAGCUAUUAAACGUGAUAGUCUAGGUGCAGGGUUUUUUGCCAAAAGUUGACAAGGUGUCCCAGAAGAAAGAUCACACUAUACAUCUUUCAUUUCUUAAGCUGUUUUCUAAUCAUCUGUCAUUAGUCACUCUUGGAAACAGGACAUAAACUUAGGUCAAUAUUUUAACCAAGUCAGUAUAUAGGAGGAUACCUUUUCCUGUCAGCCCCAAGUUUAAAAUAACCGUGGUCAAGAAUACAGUAUGUGCCAGAGGAAGGCAAACAGCAGCACUCCUGGCUCCCAAGCAAGCCAGAAAAGCAACUGUCUGCAUGAAAUGCUCCAAGCAAUAAAGCAUCUGUUUUGUAGCUCUACUAGCAGAAAUGAAACCCCUGUGUUUGGAGGAAUUUUUUGUUUUUUAAACUGUCUCCAAAGAAUAAACAGGCUCUGGAUUUCAUCACAUGAAGUAAAGUAAAGCAUAUUCCCUUUUUUAGUGACGGUCUAUGGAACAUUAGUUUAAUAAGAGAAAACUCCUGUCAGCUCAGUCUACUGUUGUAGUUACACGUAGUUCAUUUUUCCUACUUAUACCACAACCUAUAGUCAUAGAUAACAAUUAACCAUAUGAAUAAAAAUAUCAUAGUUUUGUCCUCCUGAACUGAAGGGAAAUAGUCUCAUCAAAUAAUGCUGAAAACUGCUAUCAACGCUUUCAAAGGCAUCUACCAUGGGUUGAGUUACCUUUCUAACCAGGACAGCCACAGAGAACUGCUGCAACUAUGGCAUUUUGUGACUUGGACUGUGACAUGGCACAGGAGCCUUUUCUGUAACACUUAAUUUUCCUCUUGCACAUCUGAUGUUGCUAGAUAAAAGAAACAAGCUCUCUGAAGGGCUCAGUGCAAAAGCCACCUGCAGGGGGAUGUGGCAUGAGCUGAAGUCUGUUGAUUUUUCCAGUUGUUUUUUUUUUUUUUUUAAGUCCUUGCUGGGGCAGAUAUGAACAGCUGUAUAGGUAAUCACAGUGAAGGUUUUACAUGAUCCUAAAUGAUAAACACAAAACCAACUGUUGGGAAAAGGGCAGGCAUUAUUGAUUUCUACCUUGCUUCACCUGUGCUUUUUUAGUGGAGUUCCAUUUGGGACAUGCUGCCUUCUGCCAUAGUGCAAAAUGUUUACCUCUACAUGUUUACCACUUGAGAUUUUCCAUGUUACUAUUUUAUUACUGCUUGAGGGCACAUGAUAGCUGGGGGCCAGCACCUGGAGAAUGUGCUCUUGCAAGUACUUGAAUUACCAUCCCAUCAUUUCAGGCAGGAAGGAGGUGGGAACAGGCCCGGCUGGUAAGCCUUUCCAAAGCCUUUCACACACCUGGUGAAGCUCUCAAGCACUCCCUUGUGUGAUCCACAGCCUGCUGCAGGGAAAUACAUGGCCAUGUUCCCUCAGCAGCUCAGCUCUGCUUCGUGCAUGGAAGGGAGGAUGCCCAAAAGCCAGGGGUGGCACUGGAGUCAGAAAGCGAGUUUGUAGUCCAGCUGGACUGGAGCUGUUCUAACCUACGCCCUUGGCAUACCAUCUCCCUCCUGCUAGAUCUUCCUAAUACCUGCCAGUUCUGUGUGACUGAGGAGUUCCUUUAUCCAGGGCAAAAUUCUUAAGCCACACAUUCCUAUCCCUGCCCCUUUUUAUAGUCUUUGCAGCAAAAUCUUGACCACAACAAAUGGUCCCUGUGUUGUUUGAUGACAAAGCACAAAAGAAACUUUGCUGAAGGGCGUAAAAAAAAAACCCAAAGGCUACGUUUAAGCUGUUACCCAUGCAGAAAAGUUGUUGACAAUGUACUCAGAACAGAACAGACCAAAUAAACUUGAAGCUACAAGGCUGAAAUCACUGGAAAACAAGAACUCAGUUGUCAGUGUUCACUGAUUAUUUUUUUUUUUAAAUAAUAAAAAUCACUAGGUCUCACUAUUGAAACAAAAGUUUUAAGUAGCAGCUUAGCUGAAUUGUUUCCCCUUCUACAAGAUCUCAAACUCAACUGAAUGUUCCUGCUGUAAAGUAUCACAAGGACAGAGGCAGAAGACAGAUAGGGAAACCCAUGGGACUGCAUUUUCUACCCCAGUACUCCUCACACAGACACAAAGACCUGGGUGGACUUACGCAGACUAUCAGGAAGUCCCAUAAACUUACUUUUCUCUGCCUUUCCUACAUUCAGGUCACCCCAGAGCUAACAUCGGAGAAGCACAUUAGACUAAUGCUAGGGCAAGCUCUGUCCUGAGAGCAGAAGCCUUUUAUUUUCUGGCUGAGUACUGAUGUUUACACAAGGACUUUGCCUCACAGAACUCAAGCUUCUUUCCCCCUCCAUUUAAUUUUCCACAGUUAAAAUGCCUUUACAGUCAAUUGUUUCAAGCUCAAGGCAUAGCUCAGACUACAACCUGGAGAACAAAUUGCCCUGUUCAACAAAACCAUUUCACAAACUCCAAUUCUUCUCUGCUUUAUUAAGGGAUCACCAUGGACAAAUCAGAAAAACUUGAAACACUGCAUUAAGGUGAGCCAAGCCAGCUGCAGCCAGCCCAGCCUGCACGUAGGUGCCUUAAAUCAACAUGCUGUUCAAGAACUGUUUGAAUAUUUUAGUGCUCUGCCAAUACAAUUAUCAUUGAGCACAGCUCAACAAUGCUUUGGAAAUCCUCUGAAACCCUUAUAAAAUAGGCAAAAAUAAAGCCUCUCAAAACGGACACAACACAGGGCAGAAACCGUGCUUUUCCAGCCAGAAGUACUCUCACACAUAGCUAAGUGUCCAUACAAACCUUGCUAACUCUGUCCCCAGCACUGCAAGGCACAGCAGCUAGGGACAGCCAGCAAGUGAUCUCACUGCAAACAGCUCAUGCUGCCAAAGCGUUUUACUCCCAUCCUGACACACACCAAUUCUGCUGCACAUUCCAGCAACUGCUUCCUUGAGGGGCAGGAAGACAGAGCUAGGCUAGGGCUGAAACGUGUUAUAAUGAAAGUAUACACAGGGCAGUGUUUCAGAAAAGCUAAGUCUGUUACUCAAACCUAGAAAAACUUGAAAACAUGUGUAAGACUGAGUUGCCUCAAUAUGGUUUUACUAGAGAUGACCCUAAACACCAUACUCUUCAGUGCAAUUAAGAUGUAGCCUCAAGAGCAUAAAUGAGAAAAGGUUGUUAGAGCUGCAUUCAAUUCAGAGUUAACCGUGUUCCGGCAGAACACCUAGAAUUCCACAGGAAUACUCAUCUUAGACUGUAUCACAAUAUUAAAAGCCACAAGGCAACAGUUAGUGCAGUAACAUCAGGUGCACCAGAUCCAGGAGCACAUUUCUACACUGCAAUAUAAAUAUAGCUGGUGAAGAUUACCUCAGAGGGUAGAAGUGAAAACCUCAUCUCUCAGUCCUGGAGCUUACUGAAGAUAGCACAUAAAACUAUAGCAAGAACUUACAAACCACAACCAGCUUCCAGCUGCUCAGAGCUGUGUCUUGGGGCACCCCCUCAGCAAUAACCACCGUGCACACUGCAGGGACAGACCUGCUGCACACACAUGACUGCAGAGGGCAAUGUCUGAACAGCACCCCAGCUAAAAGCAAACAGUAGCCAAGGAAAAGCAUCCAAACUGUUAAUUCUUCCUUCAUCAUUUUUACAUUUCACACAAAUGUAAAAGAACCAUUUCCUGCUUAAGAAAUCAUCUAUAUCCAAACAGGAUUUUGGGGGGGUUUUUGCAGUACAUUCUUGUAACAGUUCACUGCUGUUGCAGCUUAUGACUAGUCUGCUAUUACAAACCCUCAAAACACUGGUAAACCCCCGAGUUUAAUGAAGGUCAAGCGAGACAAAUCCACAUGGCCCAAAGUCACAUUCACAAACUUAAGAAAACAUUACAUUGAGGAUUUGUGUCUACUUUUGCAAUAAAGGAACAGCAGUUCCUUGCAAAGGGAAUUGACCCUAAAAUUGCAUUGCUUUUCAGCUAAACCUGUUGGUCCUUGCAUCUACCUUCAGUUUUUUCUCCCCAGAAUACCUCUGAACAAUCCAAUCUCAGUUCUGCCCUUUAUGCCCACCUCACCCCCGCCCCACAGUUUGUGCAUACAGGGAAGAAACCUCGCUAGUGAAUUAAGACUUAAGCCUUUUAAGCUUUUAAUUUUUACCCAAACCAACCUGGAAUGCAUCUGUCCCUAGAUGGCAGCCUACAGGUAUUUCUCACUUGCCUUUAAAGGAUGAACUCGAGGACAAAUUUUCCAGGGUCAGGGAAACUUUGAAGCAGCACCUCCACCGCUGAAGUCAGUAGUCACCACUUCCUCACGACUCAGGAACACUCCCAUUUCAAAUGUGAAAGAUGAACUGAGGCCAUGCAGUGACAUCAGUUUACAGCAAACAUCUACUCUCGUAUCCAAAAAUUCUCCAGUAUUAAGUGUAUAGCUGUGCAAUGAUACACCUACAGAGAUUGUUUCUGUCUGGCCUUAAAAGCCCCAUAAUGGAUAGCACAGACAAACUGCUCCUCCAAGUUCACAAUACUGUCUCCAGCUGUUCAACAUCAAUAGGGUGGCACAACUGGAUCACAGGAGCUCCUAUUAGGAGAUCACCUGCAAUUUGCUGCUAGCUAGUACCACUGUACAAAUGUAUUCAACUACUACCUAUCUAUGAAACUAUGGCAGACAAGGGAAGAGCAGUCAGCAGUAUUUUUGCAAUCAUGUUACACAGGUUUUGUUUAGAACAAGGCUGACCUGUGGGUGAGCUGCAGAAGCCCUAACUGCAAAUGCCAAACUGAGGGGUGAACACGUAUUUCAGAGUAGUACCUUAUUAAUUUAUCUUUGAUUUGCAUUUCUAUACAUCCCAUACAGAGUCAAGAAGCUGAGACAUUCAGUUCCUCAGAAGCUUUAUUUUCAUUCAAGCUACACAAAUAAAGUAGUACCUUCCAAUUUCCCAUUAUACUUUCUGCGUAUUUGUACGGCUCAGCAGGGUGAGAUGCACUAGGAUAACUACCCUGUACGUAUGGAGGAAGACUCAAAACUAGCUUUACU